Molecule: ribosomal RNA, 494 nt
Filed under: Theileria sp.
Lineage: Eukaryota; Apicomplexa; Aconoidasida; Piroplasmida; Theileriidae
Description: SSU rRNA
Rfam family: Eukaryotic small subunit ribosomal RNA
Source: RNAcentral
AAAUAACAAUACGGGGCUUUAAGUCUUGUAAUUGGAAUGAUGGGAAUUUAAACCUCUUCCAGAGUAUCAAUUGGAGGGCAAGUCUGGUGCCAGCAGCCGCGGUAAUUCCAGCUCCAAUAGCGUAUAUUAAACUUGUUGCAGUUAAAAAGCUCGUAGUUGAAUUUCUGCUGUAUCGUUUUCCUCUGCUUGACAGUUGGAUUUCGUUACGGCUUAGUUGGGUUUCAUUUAUUGUUUCCCGACGUUUACUUUGAGAAAAUUAGAGUGCUUCAAGCAGGCUUUUGCCUUGAAUACUUUAGCAUGGAAUAAUGGAGUAGGACUUUGGUUCUAUUUUGUUGGUUUUAGGAGCCAGAGUAAUGGUUAAUAGGAACAGUUGGGGGCAUUCGUAUUUGACUGUCAGAGGUGAAAUUCUUAGAUUUGUCAAAGACGAACUACUGCGAAAGCAUUUGCCAAGGAUGUUUUCAUUAAUCAAGAACGAAAGUUAGGGGAUCGAAGAA